GCGGACGUGGCGGAACUGGCAGACGCGCUAGACUAAGGAUCUAGUGGGGCAACCCGUGGAGGUUCGAGUCCUCUCGUCCGCA
Molecule: transfer RNA, 82 nt
Filed under: Polyangiaceae bacterium LLY-WYZ-14_1
Lineage: Bacteria; Pseudomonadati; Myxococcota; Polyangiales; Polyangiaceae
Description: tRNA-Leu
Rfam family: tRNA
About the family: Transfer RNA (tRNA) molecules are approximately 80 nucleotides in length. Their secondary structure includes four short double-helical elements and three loops (D, anti-codon, and T loops).
Source: RNAcentral